Plodia interpunctella (Indianmeal moth) is the source of this 645-nucleotide long non-coding RNA. RefSeq lists it as uncharacterized. Lineage: Eukaryota; Metazoa; Arthropoda; Insecta; Lepidoptera; Pyralidae. The transcript has 2 exons. The record is from RefSeq and is a predicted model, not a curated record.
CUGAAACAAUAUUGACAAUUGGCGCUUUUUGCCUCCAUUGGCAAUGUUCGUUAACCCCAGUACACUAGUAGUGCCAUCUGCGCCGAGCUUUACGUACUAUUCCCUAUUCCAUGAGCUGGGCACUUCAUCGAACCAUAAACAUAGCUUUCGUUGUCACUGUCACUGUCCUCUAUCAAAUUUGGAUAAAAAUAAACUCGAUGUCAAAAUAAAAUGAUAUUGAUUGUUUACAUUUUCUUAAUUUACGUGCCUAAAAUUAGUUACGAAAGAUACGAUCAUUUAAAAUACAAUUUCUAUUUUGAUUAAAAUACAUACACUUAACAUUACGUAACCACGCGAGCAUAAUGGUUCAAGAGUUAAAGUUAAUAAUUUCAGAUACUAAAAGAACAAUUGAUACCAUAUCGAAAGAAACUCAUGACACUAAUCCUGCGUUCAUGGUCCAGGCGUUAAAUGAAUUCCGUCAACAAGUUAAUGCUGCAAUAACAAAGUUAAUUGAAGAUCCUGACGAUACAAGUGACAUCAUGGAAGAGGAUGAAGGUGACAAUGAUAAUGAUGAAGAAAUAAUUGAAGUAAGUCCCAAGAAGCAGAAAAAGUAGUUAAAUAUGUAGUUUGUUAAGUAUUGUAAGUAAAUAAAACUAAUAUACAUUU